CAAUCAAGGCAUCGUUCUGAGACCUGCACUGGAAUACCGCGUCGAGUCCUUGCUCAUCCCCACGAAUGCUUUGGGUUUCGCUGUGAUGUGUGUGCAGCUGUAUAUGGGCCUGUUGGGGCUGAUACAGCAGUCAUUCUUUCCAAGAAAUCUUUGAUCUGCUGAAAGGUGACUACAAAGCUGAUAGCCAAGCCUCUUUUUUGCAAGGAAACCCUGUCAGGCAAGGGAAGGUCAGACGGAUGAGAUUCCGGUUGGUCCCUCGAGCUAAGCUGUUCCGCACGGCGAGUGUAUGGGAACGAGGCUGCUUUGAGCUAACUUUGCCAACGCUCUGCUGGUGAGCACGUUUCUGCACUGUUGAGCUGACAGCUGAAAUCUGUCCUCCUCCUGCGUGUGAUGUCAGCUGUGGGCCAGCCUGGCAGUUAUGAAGAGAAGAAGGGGGGACAGCUAGGGGGAAAAGGAAGCAUGUUACGAUUGUGACCAGACCGGCUGAAACUGUGUGUCAUGUGUCACAAACCCCACGGCCUGGCAGAUCUCCGUGGAGGGAGCUUUGCCUACUCUCAUGACAUAUCUAAAGGCUCACGGGAGGCCAGCGCGCACCUGUAAGUCUCCUGGCUGACGUGCGACCAGGCAGCCGAGAGAGAGAGAGAGCGAGAGAGAGAGAGAGAGAGAGAGAGAAAUGGGCAAGAGCUGAGACUCCAGCAGCAGCAGGAAAUGGGCUGCGUUGCAGACAACCGGCGCCACCAAGAGUUAUUUCUAAAAUCUGGGUUCGAUUACGAUGUGCAGUCAGGUGUGGAAGGUGAAAAGAAGGAGCAGGAAGGAAAAGAUAAGACACGAAGAGAAGGAGCCAUGUGGAAAAACCUGGAGUGCAGAAGUGUUCGUCUGAAAGGCUACGAUGACCGUGAUGAGUAAAUUAUUUUAUUCCUUCCAUUAUACAAUAAAAUACUAUCCAG
Molecule: long non-coding RNA, 947 nt
Filed under: Pan troglodytes (chimpanzee)
Lineage: Eukaryota; Metazoa; Chordata; Mammalia; Primates; Hominidae
Description: lncRNA (ENSPTRG00000053887.1)
Source: RNAcentral